RNAcentral lists this ribosomal RNA (253 nucleotides) under uncultured bacterium. Its description in RNAcentral is "partial 16S ribosomal RNA". It matches the Rfam family "Archaeal small subunit ribosomal RNA", at positions 474 to 727 of the family's 1478-position model. The record is from RNAcentral.
UACCAGCACCCCGAGUUGUCGGGACGAUUAUUGGGCCUAAAGCAUCCGUAGCCUGUUCUGCAAGUCCUCCGUUAAAUCCACCCGCUUAACGGAUGGGCUGCGGGGGAUACUGCAGAGCUAGGAGGCGGGAGAGGCAAACGGUACUCAGUGGGUAGGGGUAAAAUCCAUUGAUCUACUGAAGACCACCAGUGGCGAAGGCGGUUUGCCAGAACGCGCUCGACGGUGAGGGAUGAAAGCGGGGGGAGCAAACCGG